GAAAAUAACUAUGAUUCCCUUAGUAACGGCGAGUGAACAGGGAGAAGCCCAAAUUUGUAAUCUGGCACUUUUUACAAGUGUCCGAGUUGUAAUUUGUAGAACUGUUAUCCGUGCUGGACCAUGUACAAGUCUGUUGAAAAGCAGCAUCGUUGAAGGUGAAAAUCCUGUAGAUGAUAUGGACUACCAGUACUCUUGUGAUACGGUUUCUAAGAGUCGAGUUGUUUGGGAAUGCAGCUCAAAGUGGGUGGUAAAUUCCAUCUAAGGCUAAAUAUAAGUGAGAGACCGAUAGCAAACAAGUACCGUGAGGGAAAGAUGAAAAGAACUUUGAAAAUAGAGUUAACAGUACGUGAAAUUGCUGAAAGGUAAACGUUUGAAGUUAGUUUUGUAUUCGUUGGAUCAGCUUCGCAAGGAGUGUAUUCUGAUGAUAAGCAAGUCAACAUCAGUCUAUGAGUGUUGGAGAAGGGUUUUGAGAAUGUAGCAAUUUAAUUGUGUUAUAGCUUGAGACUUGGAUACGAUGCUUUGGAUUGAGGAACGCGUAGUAAGCUUUGAGCGGAUUCGAAAGGAUCUCCUUACUUUGGAUGUUGGUGAAAUAACUUUAAGCGACC
RNAcentral lists this ribosomal RNA (605 nucleotides) under Melampsora sp. HMNWFC-T021. RNAcentral describes it as "eukaryotic LSU rRNA". It matches the Rfam family "Eukaryotic large subunit ribosomal RNA", at positions 61 to 649 of the family's 3401-position model. The record is from RNAcentral. Lineage: Eukaryota; Fungi; Basidiomycota; Pucciniomycetes; Pucciniales; Melampsoraceae.